ACGUGGGAACGUGCCUUUUGGUUCGGAAUAGCUCCUGGAAACGGGUGGUAAUGCCGAAUGUGCCCUUCGGGGGAAAGAUUUAUCGCCAUUAGAGCGGCCCGCGUCUGAUUAGCUAGUUGGUGAGGUAAAGGCUCACCAAGGCUACGAUCAGUAGCUGGUCUGAGAGGAUGACCAGCCACAUUGGGACUGAGACACGGCCCAAACUCCUACGGGAGGCAGCAGUGGGGAAUCUUGCGCAAUGGGCGAAAGCCUGACGCAGCCAUGCCGCGUGAAUGAUGAAGGUCUUAGGAUUGUAAAAUUCUUUCACCGGGGACGAUAAUGACGGUACCCGGAGAAGAAGCCCCGGCUAACUUCGUGCCAGCAGCCGCGGUAAUACGAAGGGGGCUAGCGUUGCUCGGAAUUACUGGGCGUAAAGGGAGCGUAGGCGGACAUUUAAGUCAGGGGUGAAAUCCCAGAGCUCAACUCUGGAACUGCCUUUGAUACUGGAUGUCUUGAGUGUGAGAGAGGUAUGUGGAACUCCGAGUGUAGAGGUGAAAUUCGUAGAUAUUCGGAAGAACACCAGUGGCGAAGGCGACAUACUGGCUCAUUACUGACGCUGAGGCUCGAAAGCGUGGGGAGCAAACAGGAUUAGAUACCCUGGUAGUCCACGCCGUAAACGAUGAUUGCUAGUUGUCGGGAUGUUUACA
Molecule: ribosomal RNA, 686 nt
Filed under: Brevundimonas sp. x4y1
Lineage: Bacteria; Pseudomonadati; Pseudomonadota; Alphaproteobacteria; Caulobacterales; Caulobacteraceae
Description: bacterial SSU rRNA
Rfam family: Bacterial small subunit ribosomal RNA
Source: RNAcentral